This 131-nucleotide transfer RNA is filed under the name Penicillium subrubescens. It matches the Rfam family "tRNA". Rfam says of the family: Transfer RNA (tRNA) molecules are approximately 80 nucleotides in length. Their secondary structure includes four short double-helical elements and three loops (D, anti-codon, and T loops). Further hydrogen bonds mediate the characteristic L-shaped molecular structure. tRNAs have two regions of fundamental functional importance: the anti-codon, which is responsible for specific mRNA codon recognition, and the 3' end, to which the tRNAs corresponding amino acid is attached (by aminoacyl-tRNA synthetases). tRNAs cope with the degeneracy of the genetic code in two manners: having more than one tRNA (with a specific anti-codon) for a particular amino acid; and 'wobble' base-pairing, i.e. permitting non-standard base-pairing at the 3rd anti-codon position. Lineage: Eukaryota; Fungi; Ascomycota; Eurotiomycetes; Eurotiales; Aspergillaceae. The record is from Rfam by way of RNAcentral.
GUCAGUUUGGCCGAGUGGUCUAAGGCGCUUGACUUGAACCUCCCGACUCCCAAGUCAGGGUUGGGGUAUAUCCCUUCAUGUUUAGGCAUCAAGUCUCUUCGGAGGCACAGGUUCGAACCCUGUAGCUGACG